Molecule: ribosomal RNA, 239 nt
Filed under: uncultured Anaerolineae bacterium
Lineage: Bacteria; Bacillati; Chloroflexota; Anaerolineae
Description: partial 16S ribosomal RNA
Rfam family: Bacterial small subunit ribosomal RNA
Source: RNAcentral
UAAGGGAUAUUGCGCCAAUGGGCGAAAGCCUGACGCAGCAACGCCGCGUGCGGGAAGAAGGCCUUCGGGUUGUAAACCGCUUUGAGAGGGGAAGAGGCAGGACGGUACCCUCGGAACAAGUCUCGGCUAACUACGUGCCAGCAGCCGCGGUAAAACGUAGGAGGCGAGCGUUAUCCGGAGUUACUGGGUGUAAAGGGCGUGCAGGCGGCUAAGCAAGUCGUAUGUGAAAGCGCUCAGGC